Molecule: ribosomal RNA, 299 nt
Filed under: uncultured bacterium
Lineage: Bacteria
Description: partial 16S ribosomal RNA
Rfam family: Bacterial small subunit ribosomal RNA
Source: RNAcentral
CAACCCCUACGGGGCGCAGCAGUGGGGAAUAUUGCACAAUGGGGGAAACCCUGAUGCAGCGACGCCGCGUGAGCGAUGAAGUAUUUCGGUAUGUAAAGCUCUAUCAGCAGGGAAGAAAGAAAUGACGGUACCUGACUAAGAAGCCCCGGCUAACUACGUGCCAGCAGCCGCGGUAAUACGUAGGGGGCAAGCGUUAUCCGGAUUUACUGGGUGUAAAGGGAGCGUAGACGGCGAUGCAAGUCUGAAGUGAAAGGCGGGGGCCCAACCCCCGGACUGCUUUGGAAACUGUAUGGCUGGAG